Molecule: long non-coding RNA, 758 nt
Organism: Lycium barbarum (goji berry)
Lineage: Eukaryota; Viridiplantae; Streptophyta; Magnoliopsida; Solanales; Solanaceae
Exons: 4
Source: RefSeq, a predicted model, not a curated record
UCAAAAAUAAAGUGGGACCAAAGCGCUAAAAUAAAAUCUUGCUCCCAAAAAAAUAAAAUAAUGGGAGCUUUAAUUCUAAAACCUAACUCCGUCUUCAAAAAUCCCCAAAUCUAGCUUCAUCAAGAAAACCAUUACGCCAGAGACCACCGAGAGAAGUUGCAGUCUGGCGGGAGACUAUCACGGGCGGUCUUUCUGUUAUUUGUUAGAAGACAACAUGGCGUCAUUGGUUUUCUGAAGGUGUGAAAAGAUGGAUCCUUUUCAAACUUGAAGAAGUUAAGGAUUGAACAUUGUUGCCAAAUCAAAGUAAUGUUUGCUUGAUGGUUGUGGCAAAAUCUCCACAACCUUUAACAUGUGGUGUCUUAUUAUGAUAAGAUGAAAGAAAUUAUUAGCGGGGAUGAGAAUGAGGACCAAGAGGAAAAUCAGGUGCCUUGGCCUAAUUGCGUGUUGUUAACCUUUAUGGCUAAAUUUCUAAUCUCAGGCUUUCGAGAUGACAAAAGGACAAAUCAUACAAGAUUAUAUGGUUCUUUAUUUAUGUGUUUAGAUGGAGACAUUUUUUUCUGGGUUAUACCUUAGUUCUUUUUGGUUUUUGGUUCUUAUUAAUAGUGUCUGAAUUUACUUUGUGCGGUAUGUAAUUUUUCUUUUGACAUGUAACAUCUCAUAUCUUGACAUAAUUGGAAAUUCUUAUAGUUGUGUUUUUAUUUGUAGUCUAUUUAAUAUAAUAUAAAUAUAUGAUCCAGUGAUGAUCAUUUUCGCUUGCA